Molecule: long non-coding RNA, 571 nt
Organism: Apis florea (little honeybee)
Lineage: Eukaryota; Metazoa; Arthropoda; Insecta; Hymenoptera; Apidae
Source: RefSeq, a predicted model, not a curated record
CUCGUCGCGGCGUGGCCAGCAGCAGGGGAGGAGGGGUUUGGCCGGUUGAUUGUGGCGAUUGUUCGAUUCGUCCUCCUUUGUCGUCUGCCACGUGGUACACGCCCGACGAUGGAUAUUUCCCGGUUUAUGCCCGGUUUACGAAUUGCCGGUUUGAUUGUCGCCCAUAGACGCGGGGAGAAUAGGUGUUUAACGAUACGGUAAAUGGUGGAAUUCGUUUACGUUUAGGGAUGAUUCGUCGUAGAUAGGGGGUGUGAAAGAAGGGAACUGGUGGGCAAAGGGGAGAGGGAAAACGGAGCGUGGAGAUGAACAGUUUCGUUCUUUCUUCGUGUGGAGGAUAGGAUGCGUAGCUCGGGAACCACGAAAUGACCGUAUGGAAAUUCGUGUUUUAAAUUAAAGAUCCGUAGACAACGCGGAGCGGCGUAUAGACAAACAAUAGAAACAAUGGAUGCUCGUUGGUCCUGUGCAUUGUACGCCGGUCGUGUGCGUGGUGGGGACCCAUUCUUGAGCGCACAAUGGCUAUAGGGUUUCCCGAAUAAAAAAAAGAGAGAGAGAGAAAGAAAGGAAGAAAGAA